This is a long non-coding RNA of Monomorium pharaonis (pharaoh ant), 430 nucleotides long. RefSeq lists it as uncharacterized. The transcript has 2 exons. The record is from RefSeq and is a predicted model, not a curated record. NCBI's taxonomy places the organism in Eukaryota, Metazoa, Arthropoda, Insecta, Hymenoptera, Formicidae.
AUACUUUCUGCUCGAUUAGUUGCACUCACUUUCGUGCAUCAUGCUGCAGUCUGCAUAGCGAUAUAAACAAUGGAGAUAGACACAUGGACGGCGACGAUGGUGAAAAAGACAAUUCAGGACACAAUUUCAAAAUCAAAAAUUCUCCACAAUUAAUUCUGGAAAAGGAUUUCUAAAUCUAUAAAAGAAAUACAUACAAAAUUUUGUUAAUGACGUGCCCAAAUGACUCUACAUUAUCGAUCUCGAUUAAGUUUGACGAGCAGUUUAGCAUCCCCGAGAUAUCGGUAUCGUUAUACAGUUAAUUAAUAUAUAUUUGUUGCGCAGAUAUUUUAUAUGUUAAAAAGCUGCACAACGACAGUAUAACGACACCGACACCUCUUAACGAGUUUCAGAAUUGCGGCCCUGACCAUGCAGCACCAGUUACGGAAGCAAA